Molecule: small RNA, 833 nt
Filed under: Pan troglodytes (chimpanzee)
Lineage: Eukaryota; Metazoa; Chordata; Mammalia; Primates; Hominidae
Description: retained intron
Source: RNAcentral
GAAAGAGAAAGAGGAGCGGAAGAAACAGCAGGAGAAGGAAGACAAGGAUGAAAAGAAGAAGGGGGAGGAUGAAGACAAAGGUCCUCCCUGUGGCCCAGUGAACUGCAAUGAAAAGAUUGUGGUCCUUCUGCAGCGCUUGAAGCCUGAGAUCAAGGAUGUCAUUGAGCAGCUCAACCUGGUCACCACCUGGUUGCAGCUGCAGAUACCUCGGAUUGAGGAUGGUAACAAUUUUGGAGUGGCUGUCCAGGUGAGAGCACUGCCCCACUUCCCUGCUUUUUUCUAGUCCAUGCUUCCUUCCACUUUCCCCCUUGCUUUUUUUCCCUAGGAGAAGGUGUUUGAGCUGAUGACCAGCCUCCACACCAAGCUAGAAGGCUUCCACACUCAAAUCUCUAAGUAUUUCUCUGAGCGUGGUGAUGCAGUGACUAAAGCAGCCAAGCAGCCCCAUGUGGUAGGUGAGGCCCAGGUCAGGGUGCAUGGGGGAAGGACACAUGUAAGGUCAGGCCUGACCCGAGCUUCCCACAGGGUGAUUAUCGGCAGCUGGUGCACGAGCUGGAUGAGGCAGAGUACCGGGACAUCCGGCUGAUGGUCAUGGAGAUCCGCAAUGCUUAUGCUGUGUUAUAUGACAUCAUCCUGAAGAACUUCGAGAAGCUCAAGAAGCCCAGGGGAGAAACAAAGGGAAUGAUCUAUUGAGAGCCCUCUCUCCCAUUCUGUGAUGAGUACAGCAGAGACCUUCCUGCUUUUUACUGGGGACUCCAGAUUUUCCCCAAACUUGCUUCUGUUGAGAUUUUUCCCUCACCUUGCCUCUCAGGCACAAUAAAUAUAGUUAUACCACU